Molecule: microRNA precursor, 126 nt
Filed under: Myotis lucifugus (little brown bat)
Lineage: Eukaryota; Metazoa; Chordata; Mammalia; Chiroptera; Vespertilionidae
Description: mir-9193 microRNA precursor family
Rfam family: mir-9193 microRNA precursor family
Source: Rfam by way of RNAcentral
CAUGCACCAGUGGGGUCCCUCAGCCUGGCCUGUGCCCUCUUGCAAUCCUGGACCCUUUGGGGAAUGUUGGAGAGCCAGUUUUGGCCCAGUCCUGGAGGCCAGGCUGAGGGACUCCACUGGUGCACG